RNAcentral lists this transfer RNA (61 nucleotides) under Macrohectopus branickii. RNAcentral's name for it is "tRNA-Ile". Lineage: Eukaryota; Metazoa; Arthropoda; Malacostraca; Amphipoda; Macrohectopidae. The record is from RNAcentral.
UGUAGAGUACCUAAUUUAAAGGGCCGCCUUGAUACGGCAGACAUGCACAAUGCUUCUAUGU